CAAUUUCUCAUUUUAAAAACAGUGAAAGUGAAAUCUUUUCCAAUAUAAUUUUUCCUUAUCUUAUAUUUGUUCAUUUUUACAUCCAUAUGCUAAACAAUAUACACCAGUAAUGCAAAAAAACAGAAAAACAUACCACAAAUGGAGAAAGAAAUGUUAUAUUCAUCUGACAACUCAGCGGGUGUGCUGCUUCCACAUAGCUGCCAGAAAACUGGUUUUGGCUGAGUCAUUCAUGAUCAGCUACCUUGCUUUGGCUCUGACCACUCAUUGGAAUGUUCUUUCCAGUCUAUAUACAAUUUCCUUGGUUAUACUUCACUUAACAUAUUAACAUAUGAUCAGUAACAACAAUUGAAUAAUGUUG
RNAcentral lists this long non-coding RNA (358 nucleotides) under Androctonus crassicauda. The record is from RNAcentral. Lineage: Eukaryota; Metazoa; Arthropoda; Arachnida; Scorpiones; Buthidae.